GAUGAACGCUGGCGGCGUGCUUAACACAUGCAAGUCGAACGGAAAGGCCAGUGCUUGCACUGGUACUCGAGUGGCGAACGGGUGAGUAACACGUGGGUGUUCUGCCCUGUACUUCGGGAUAAGCUUGGGAAACUGGGUCUAAUACCGGAUAGGACAACUUUUUGGAUAUUGUUGUGGAAAGCUUUUGCGGUAUGGGAUGAGCUCGCGGCCUAUCAGCUUGUUGGUGGGGUAAUGGCCUACCAAGGCGUCGACGGGUAGCCGGCCUGAGAGGGUGUACGGCCACAUUGGGACUGAGAUACGGCCCAGACUCCUACGGGAGGCAGCAGUGGGGAAUAUUGCACAAUGGGCGCAAGCCUGAUGCAGCGACGCCGCGUGGGGGAUGAAGGCCUUCGGGUUGUAAACUCCUUUCGCUAGGGACGAAGCGUAAGUGACGGUACCUGGAGAAGAAGCACCGGCUAACUACGUG
This 466-nucleotide ribosomal RNA is filed under the name uncultured bacterium. RNAcentral describes it as "partial 16S ribosomal RNA". It matches the Rfam family "Bacterial small subunit ribosomal RNA", at positions 28 to 507 of the family's 1533-position model. The record is from RNAcentral.